This 489-nucleotide unclassified non-coding RNA is filed under the name Lymnaea stagnalis (great pond snail). Its description in RNAcentral is "sequence contains ITS2". Lineage: Eukaryota; Metazoa; Mollusca; Gastropoda; Lymnaeidae. The record is from RNAcentral.
GCUCUCACGAAACCGGAGCCUUUCUCGGUUCCCCCCAUCAACCACCGCUCGUUGGGUGGAAGGAAGGGGGGGGGACUGAAUCGGCACCGGCUGGACACGCUCUGGACCUUCGCGGUCUGCGCUGUCGCUGCGCCAUUCGGUGCGGUGAUGGCAACGGCCCCGUGGUCUUAAGUACAAGCCGCGCCGUUGUCCGUUCAUCUCGUAACGUCUUCGACGCUGCCCUGCUCAUGGCGGCCUGUCCGUUUUCUCUACCGCCAGGCAGGACCCGGCUCGCUACUUGAUUAAUUUCUGGAGGCGAUAACGGGCCUGCAGUCCUCAUGGCCCAUCGCCCUUUGCCUCUGCCAGCUCGUUCAUUGGUGGUAGGCGGGGGGACGGUGGAGAGAAAGGGACGGAAGAGACGCUCACUUGAUGCUCGGCGCCCGGAUCAAUUGUUUUUUUUUUCACUCGAAAAAAAAAUUAACAUUCCGACCUCAGAUCGGACGAGAUUAC